RNAcentral lists this unclassified non-coding RNA (337 nucleotides) under soil metagenome. Its description in RNAcentral is "partial contains 5.8S ribosomal RNA, internal transcribed spacer 2, and large subunit ribosomal RNA". The stretch from base 1 to 120 matches the Rfam family "5.8S ribosomal RNA", at positions 35 to 154 of the family's 154-position model. The record is from RNAcentral.
GAUGAAGAACGCAGUGAAAUGCGAUAAGUAAUGUGAAUUGCAGAAUUCAGUGAAUCAUCGAAUCUUUGAACGCACAUUGCGCCCGCCAGCAUUCUGGCGGGCAUGCCUGUUCGAGCGUCAUUUCAACCCUCAAGCUCUGCUUGGUGUUGGGGCCCUACGGUUGACGUAGGCCCUUAAAGGUAGUGGCGGACCCUCUCGGAGCCUCCUUUGCGUAGUAACUAACGUCUCGCACUGGGAUUCGGAGGGACUCUUGCCGUAAAACCCCCAAAUUUUUAAAGGUUGACCUCGGAUCAGGUAGGAAUACCCGCUGAACUUAAGCAUAUCAAUAAGCGGAGGA